Molecule: ribosomal RNA, 548 nt
Filed under: PAH-contaminated sludge bacterium PB-8
Lineage: Bacteria; Pseudomonadati; Pseudomonadota; Gammaproteobacteria; Lysobacterales; Lysobacteraceae
Description: bacterial SSU rRNA
Rfam family: Bacterial small subunit ribosomal RNA
Source: RNAcentral
GCCUAACACAUGCAAGUCGAACGGCAGCACAGUAAGAGCUUGCUCUUAUGGGUGGCGAGUGGCGGACGGGUGAGGAAUACAUNGGAAUCUACUUUUUCGUGGGGGAUAACGUAGGGAAACUUACGCUAAUACCGCAUACGACCUACGGGUGAAAGCAGGGGAUCUUCGGACCUUGCGCGAUUGAAUGAGCCGAUGUCGGAUUAGCUAGUUGGCGGGGUAAAGGCCCACCAAGGCGACGAUCCGUAGCUGGUCUGAGAGGAUGAUCAGCCACACUGGAACUGAGACACGGUCCAGACUCCUACGGGAGGCAGCAGUGGGGAAUAUUGGACAAUGGGCGCAAGCCUGAUCCAGCCAUACCGCGUGGGUGAAGAAGGCCUUCGGGUUGUAAAGCCCUUUUGUUGGGAAAGAAAUCCAGCCGGCUAAUACCUGGUUGGGAUGACGGUACCCAAAGAAUAAGCACCGGCUAACUUCGUGCCAGCAGCCGCGGUAAUACGAAGGGUGCAAGCGUUACUCGGAAUUACUGGGCCGUAAAGCGUGCGUAGGUGGUC